AUUGAACGCUGGCGGCAUGCUUUACACAUGCAAGUCGAACGGUAACAGGCCUUCGGGUGCUGACGAGUGGCGAACGGGUGAGUAAUGCAUCGGAACGUACCCAGAGGUGGGGGAUAACGCAGCGAAAGCUGUGCUAAUACCGCAUGUGAUCUGAGGAUGAAAGCGGGGGACCGCGCAGCAAUGUUUGGCCUCGCGCCUUUGGAGCGGCCGAUGUCGGAUUAGCUAGUUGGUGGGGUAAAGGCCUACCAAGGCGACGAUCCGUAGCUGGUCUGAGAGGACGACCAGCCACACUGGGACUGAGACACGGUCCAGACUCCUACGGGAGGCAGCAGUGGGGAAUUUUGGACAAUGGGCGCAAGCCUGAUCCAGCAAUGCCGCGUGCGGGAAGAAGGCCUUCGGGUUGUAAACCGCUUUUGGCAGGAACGAAACGGUGUCCGCUAAUACCGGGCGCUAAUGACGGUACCUGCAGAAUAAGCACCGGCUAACUACGUG
Molecule: ribosomal RNA, 492 nt
Filed under: uncultured bacterium
Lineage: Bacteria
Description: partial 16S ribosomal RNA
Rfam family: Bacterial small subunit ribosomal RNA
Source: RNAcentral